AUGUAAAAAUUAUUGAGUUUAGUGAUGAAAGUUGGCCUUCCACUGGUGCUCUCUAUAAUAUGGAUAAUAUAUUUACGGUGUCUUGUGAUGACAUAUGUUUAUUUAUAUAUAUGGUAAAAGAUUAUUGCAGUGUAGAUUGCAUGUGAUGAUGAUAUAUAGAAAAAGUCAGUGUGCUGAACCCAAUUUUAGAGGUGCAUAAAAAAAAGUUCACGAAUACAUUAUUUUAAUCUUAUUCAUGUAAAUCAUAUACAUGACAGUAAAUACAUGAUUUUAUGAUUCACCCAUGCACAUGACCAGUUGAACAUUAGUAUACAGUUGAAACUGCCUGGAUAUAAUAGGCACAUAGAAAGUAUUAGCUUUGCUCUGGCCAUACAUCGCUACCAUAAGCUUUGGUGGUGCAGUAGUUUAAGCUGAAUAUAGUAGAUCUAUGAAUAAUAUUGAUACGUGAACUAAGAUUCACAGUAUGGCAGUAUACAUAUAGAUAUAUAUAGAGUCAUGGGUGAAAAAAAAAUGCACUCUGAAAUGAAAGAAUAGCAUUUGCACGUGAUUGUUAUCUUUCUUAUGCUUUAAUAGUUUGCUUACUGUACUUCUGAAGUUGGGUUUAGUACACACAUCAUACACACUUAUUUAACUUCAUUGCAUUUGAUAUAUUGAUUUAUAGUAUAUUCUAUAUUGGGGAUACUGUUUAAUUUCGUGAUUGUUUUGUUCUGGUAGCACAAUCAUGUAAUCGGUACUGAUUUUCUCGAAAAUAAUUGCUUGGCCUUAGUUCAUUACAGAUUAUAUGUAUCCAAAAUUACGUUAAUUUAGUAUUUUUACCUUCCCCAAUCUCCGUGCUCUGCACGUAAAAUGUUAAUAUAUGUGGUUGUCGGUAUCUCCAAAAACAUAAAGAUUUUUUAAUUUUUUUUAU
Molecule: long non-coding RNA, 907 nt
Filed under: Mytilus galloprovincialis (Mediterranean mussel)
Lineage: Eukaryota; Metazoa; Mollusca; Bivalvia; Mytilida; Mytilidae
Source: RNAcentral